UUUAAAGUAGGGGGACCAUAUAAUUUAUUGUCUGAACCCAGGCACUCUUUUGAGGGAGAGAAGAGGCACUAAAAGUAAUUAACAGGUAUUAACUGAUCAACAACCAUGGACCCAGACCAAAAAGGGCGCAUGGCCGCUGGAACGGUAAGGCUUUAUGGAGGGUCUGGUUGAAGAAGUUCACAUCCGCCAGCUAUUAAUGAACUCUUGCUCAGGAAAGGCCUCUGUCUGCCUGUGGCUCCUGCAGUCACGUGAUUCCAACCCAGCUACCUAACCCAGUGGUUCUACAAGCAAGGUCCACGAACGGAAAUGGCCUGAGGAGGUUGUUCAGACUGCAGGUGCCUCGUCCUUACUUCAGAUCUCCUAAGUCAGAAUCCCUGAGGAUGCUGCCCGUGCCCCUGCAUUUCGACACACCUCCCAGCCCAUCAGCCAGGACCCCUUGUCUGACUUUCCAAUGCCUCUGCCGUCAAGCUCCUGUUCUCAUUUAACUGGACGCCUUCACUGAGUUCUUCCCAUCAGCCCAGAGACUGACACUAAGCCAAGUCUACGACACUACAUGUAAACGCGGUCCUCUGCUCCCGACAUGUAAAAGUUGGGAGUUACUAGCUGCAAAUUGCCUCGUGCCCCGACUUGCUCUGUGCCUGUGAGAGAGCCGAGACCUCCCAGUACCUCGGGUUCCUCAUCUGCGGAGGGUAAUUGCUGUCCCUCCAGCUACCCAGCUCCAGCAGUUUUCACGGGAAGAAAAGCACAGGUGCAUUGUCAGACAUCUGGAACCUGGCUGGGAGACAAUUUCCAGAGAGGGCCAAGGUGGUGUUCUGUUGUGACCACUGGGAUUGAAGACAUGGUUCUAUUUCCUCCUCUUUCUGUUAAACUGAACUUCAGCUACAGACAUUAAUACCCUCACUGCAUGGUAAGGAGGGGGCUCUAUUUUUACAAGUGCCACAGGAUCGAGCCCUAAUGUGUUACGCUGUGACCUUUGCUGGCUCUGCACCAGGGAACCGUAAUUUGGGGCUCACCCUGGCUUUGGAAACCUCCGUAGGCUUCAUAUGAUAUGCAUGGUAUUGCAUGUUCUAUAACUGGCCCGCAUUUCCUUACAACCUUCCCAGUUAGUUUCUGAAGUCUCUCUAUAGACUUUUUUUAACUCCAAAAGUCCAUAGUGUUUCUUAACAGGGAUCUAGCCCCUGUAAGGGACUGUGGAGAGAAUAAGGCUGGUUUAGGGCCUCAGGGAGGCUGGGGUGGGGCAACGGAAGCCAUUCUGUGACUGUUCAUUCCCUGAAUGAGGAUUUUGAGCCUUGGGGCCUAUCACCAGGCUGCAGUCAUUUCCAGUAGAUGGGGAUACAGGAAGGAAUUUAGAAGUCAGACCAUAUCUAGCCCUCGCUAAAUUGGAUUCUAAGUUCUCCUAACCUUGAGGAGGAGAGGGUCAGUAUAGGACCCAGAGCCUGUGAUACAGGGUGCAGCCAGGGGCCCCCCCCCAAAAAAAAAGAUUUAGAAAGGUGUCCAGAAUUCAAAGUGUAUAGAAAUAUUGGAGAGACAUAUAAGAUGUCCUUACCGCCCCCCCCCCAGGGGGAAGGGAUGAAUGGAGCCAGGCCAUUGAGAGCUGUUUUGCAUAGCAACAGUUUUGCAGCUAACCUCUGGAAUGAUUAUUUAACAUAUCUAUAACCUUUAACUGGUUUCAUAGAUAUGUUAAAUAGCUGUGGCCAAGUUUGGAGCCAGGGAGAAGGUUGUGGGAGGGACUCAAGAUGGGAACUAAGGUCUGCACUCCUGAGAGAGAAGGGAGUAGCUUGGGUACUCAAGAUGGAACUAGCGGGGACUCAGGAGGAUAUAACUAAGGUCUGCACUCCUGAGUGAGAAGGGCUUGGACUCAGGAGGUAAUGAGGGGCUGUGCCCCUGAGGGGGGGUGCCGCUGUGUGGGAGCUUGGAAAAGACUGGCUCCAGGACAUGAAGGGUCCCCGCUUGGCCAGAUGGAGAGAGAGCCACGCGGUUUCAGCAGAGUGAGGACCCCCUCUUGGUGAGGUGAAAGAGGGAGCCACGUGGUUUUGGCAGGGUGCAGACCCCCUCUUUCCCAGGUGAAAGGGAAAAACCACGCAGCUUUGCCAGAAUGGAGAUCCCUGCAGCCAGGUGAAGAAGAAAGCCACAUGCUUUUGGUGGAGUGCGGACUCCUGCAGCUUUGGUAGAAGAGGCCCACGCGGCUUUAGGGUGCCCCCUUUGGCCGUGGGGCCUGAAAAGCAAGAGAGACUUUGAUUGGAACUGGGUACAAAGGACUCUUGCCAGUGGACCAUGAGAGGGUACCACAGUACUUUGGAUUAACUCGAGAUCCUGCACAGUGACACAGCUGACGGUGCCAGCGACCUGCAACACAGACGUGUGCUCUUUUCCUGAUUUACGGUACCCGGAGUUGGGACAGUGGGAGAAGGGAGCGCUGUGUGGGUGUAGGUGUUUACCCUAAAGGACUUUGAUAUUUUAGUGGUGGCAUUAGGCCUGAAUAGCAGCAUUAAAGAAACAUUUU
Artibeus jamaicensis (Jamaican fruit-eating bat) is the source of this 2503-nucleotide long non-coding RNA. RefSeq lists it as uncharacterized. The record is from RefSeq and is a predicted model, not a curated record. The transcript has 3 exons. Lineage: Eukaryota; Metazoa; Chordata; Mammalia; Chiroptera; Phyllostomidae.